This is a long non-coding RNA of Arachis ipaensis, 582 nucleotides long. RefSeq lists it as uncharacterized. Lineage: Eukaryota; Viridiplantae; Streptophyta; Magnoliopsida; Fabales; Fabaceae. The record is from RefSeq and is a predicted model, not a curated record.
CAUGAUAACAGUCAAACUGUAUGUUUUAUUUAUUUAUUUAAUUCUUCUAUAAAAAAAUUCUAUACAAUAGUACAACAGUCAGUUGACGAAGAUGGUUAUUUUUCAGCGCUGUACGUUGCCGAAACAAUUUGGAGCCGAGAUUCUGGCAUUGGCCCUUGAUUUCUGAGGUUUAUGCAUUCAGAUGUUACUAUAUUUUCAAUGAACAAGAAAUAAUUCAGUUUUGGUGGGAACUAACUUGUUGAUUGGAGACCAUAGCUUGAGGGCCAGGGAUUAUACUAGGAGGUUUGCUAGCUAUGUCAGUCCAAUCUAAUAAAGGAUGAUGCAUAAACUGAUGGGGGUUCAUCUUGUUGAAUUCCUUGAAAGCUGGGUAACUUUUGAGGCUCUUUCAUUGAGAAUUUGGAAAUUUCAGAUUUCUUGACUGUAAGUGCUGAGCAGGUUUGCUUCUUUGAGUAGUUAGUAGCCUCUGCCUGCCUCUGACAUGUAUGUAAAUUUGUAACUUUUGAUAAGUCAAAUGUUGUUUUGUGUUUGUUAUACUUUGUAUACUGUCAUUGAAAUAAUAUCAUGCGAAUUAUUUGAGAUUAA